ACUCAGGGUCCCGACCCCGGUGGGUUGCACACCUGAGCUAUCUCCAUCCUCGGAGACCGACGAGCUCUCCGUGUCCUCGUCCUCUGAGCUGCUCCCCUCAUUUUCGGCGUAGUCCACCUCCAUCUCAUCGUGAUGAUCCUGCCUCUGAAGGGAGACAGACUUAAUUCCAAUUGUCACCACAUGGUGGAGCCGAGACGUCAGUGUACAAUCCACAAACCUUGUCCCUGCUGAGUGACCCUGGCCAGAUGCUGGUGGCUGGAAAAACAAAGGCAGAACACCACAGGCUGCAACUAAUAGCUUCAAAUCAGGGUCCCUGGCAACCAUUGAUUUUUACUGUUGCCAUAAUGCUACCUUUUCCAGAAUGUCAUAUAAUGACAAUCAUACG
Long non-coding RNA from Prionailurus viverrinus (fishing cat), 385 nucleotides. RefSeq lists it as uncharacterized. Lineage: Eukaryota; Metazoa; Chordata; Mammalia; Carnivora; Felidae. The record is from RefSeq and is a predicted model, not a curated record. The transcript has 3 exons.